RNAcentral lists this long non-coding RNA (1212 nucleotides) under Anas zonorhyncha (Eastern spot-billed duck). RNAcentral describes it as "lncRNA (ENSAZOG00000016051.1)". The record is from RNAcentral. Lineage: Eukaryota; Metazoa; Chordata; Aves; Anseriformes; Anatidae.
UUUUUCGUUACUUCCUCCAAGCAGAUCUCUUUCCGCACCGAGCCCAACAGUUUUGCUACUCCCAGGUCAAGCAAAAGGCACCGCGUUUUGGCAGGCAGCCUAUCUGCCCGGCCCAGUCGCAGCAGUUUUUAUGAAGGGAGCCAGCUAGCAGGGAGGGGGAGCAGGGGAGGGCUGCCUCCUUCUCCGGAGGGCCAUCCAAAAUGUUCCUGUAGGGCAGACCCUGCCCGUUUGCAGCUAAAAGUGCCAGGAUCCGGCUGCUUCCCCACUGAACCAAGAGCAAAGGUCCCAGGAAGCUUUCCCACCACGCACACACGCUGGAGUUUCGAGCAGGGUUUCUGUCCCCGAUCAACAACAAAGGAAAGUUCCUGCUCACAUCAAUCAGCCUCAAGGGCUGUCUGGGCUGCGCAGCCCGUUCAGAGCCAAGAGGAAACCAGACACUCACAAAUACCUGUCCAAAUCAGGCUUGUCAACAUGACAAGCCCUAACAAACAAAAAGAGUCGCCUGGAAGCUGCAACCCUUCCUGCUCAGGGCCAAACACAGCAACGUUCCCGGGCUUGCCAGCGGUGCCCAGGUGGUCCUGCCCCGCGGCCACGCUCAGCGCCUGCAGCACGGGCACCAAGGACACCCAGCACCGGGAUUUCUCCAGCAGGGCACGCAGCCAGGAGCAGCUAGGGACAGGACCCUGAAGCCAAAAGCUUAUCCAUAGUCCAACCGUAUUACUUAAAUAAAAAAAUAGUUUGUCCUCAGAGCUGGCUUCCCUCCUCCCCCCCCACCGCAUGUUUCCAUGGUAAAAGGACAGCCAUUAUCAAUGAGGUCUGCUGAAUGUAAUAGAUAAAAAUCAUCUUAUGGAACAUUCAUUCAGGCUGGGUUUUGUCCCUUGACCCAUGUGUACACUUGGUUCUAAACAAAGGAGAACAGGCAAGAUAAAUUAGUGGGGCAGGCGUACUCCAGCAAAUAGAUGCCUUUUUUAUUUUUAAUCUGUCUCCAUUAAAUUUAUGUGUCCAUUGGCUAGAAGACAGCAUUCUGCAUUCUUCUCCAAACAUACCAAACAAAAACUCAGCCAGUGGCGUGAUUCUUGUGAUCAAGGUCACAGGCCUGGGACGCUGGUUUUGCUGGAGCAUGCAUCUGAAUGCUGAACCCACAACUUCAUUUAACAUGGGAAAAGUAGUAAAAACUGAAACAAUUUGCUUAGCAGAAUGACAAGCACUGAG